Molecule: long non-coding RNA, 443 nt
Filed under: Struthio camelus australis
Lineage: Eukaryota; Metazoa; Chordata; Aves; Struthioniformes; Struthionidae
Description: lncRNA (ENSSCUG00000006716.1)
Source: RNAcentral
CAGGAAAGUGCUUCCAACUUUCAAAUCAAGAGAACAUUUUAGCAUUUCCUAAGCUCUGUGUGCAUGCCUAAGCUGCCAUGAAUAGGAAUGAAUGUAAGUAGUUUCAUAAAGUAGAAACAUGGAAAAAAAUGGCAAUGGUGCAACUGUGGCUACACGUAGCUAAUUGCUGUGGGGUUUUUUUGCUAUUAGUAUAGAAAGAAAUACUGCCCUGCUGAUGUGUGAAAGUGUCGAUAUGUUGUGGGCUGGGCUUGACUUAUUCAGGUAUUACUCUCCACAGCUGCAACGUCUCUGAAUGAAAAUUGAAGUCCAGGUCAAUAUUGUUACCUGCUGACUGCUUGUCUUUCUAUAAGAAAAAAAUUAUCUGCCUGCAAAACUACGUUUUUUUGCACAGUAUUGGUAAUGAGUUUAAUGACUUGAAUUUUAUUUUCUUUUUCUAUCAGCUG